AUUGAACGCUGGCGGCAGGCUUAACACAUGCAAGUCGAGCGGGGAUGAGGUGCUUGCACCUUAUCUUAGCGGCGGACGGGUGAGUAAUGCUUAGGAAUCUGCCUAUUAGUGGGGGACAACAUUUCGAAAGUGAUGCUAAUACCGCAUACGUCCUACGGGAGAAAGCAGGGGAUCUUCGGACCUUGCGCUAAUAGAUGAGCCUAAGUCGGAGUAGCUAGUUGGUGGGGUAAAGGCCUACCAAGGCGACGAUCUGUAGCGGGUCUGAGAGGAUGAUCCGCCACACUGGGACUGAGACACGGCCCAGACUCCUACGGGAGGCAGCAGUGGGGAAUAUUGGACAAUGGGGGGAACCCUGAUCCAGCCAGCCGCGUGUGUGAAGAAGGCCUUUUGGUUGUAAAGCACUUUAAGCGAGGAGGAGGCUACUAGUACUAAUACUACUGGAUAGUGGACGUUACUCGCAGAAUAAGCACCGGCUAACUCUGUGCCAGCCGCCGCUGUAA
RNAcentral lists this ribosomal RNA (500 nucleotides) under uncultured bacterium. Its description in RNAcentral is "partial 16S ribosomal RNA". It matches the Rfam family "Bacterial small subunit ribosomal RNA", at positions 30 to 523 of the family's 1533-position model. The record is from RNAcentral.